UACGUAGGGACCGAGCGUUGUCCGGAAUCAUUGGGCGUAAAGAGCGUGUAGGCGGCCACUUAAGUCCUGCGUGAAAUCUUGCGGCUCAACCGCAAGCGGUCGUGGGAAACUGGGUGGCUAGAGUGCGGGAGAGGAGAGUGGAAUUCCUGGUGUAGCGGUGGAAUGCGCAGAUAUCAGGAGGAACACCUGUGGUGUAGACGGCUUUCUGGACCAUAACUGACGCUGAGACACGAAAAGCGUGGGUAGCAAACAGG
This 254-nucleotide ribosomal RNA is filed under the name uncultured bacterium. RNAcentral's name for it is "partial 16S ribosomal RNA". It matches the Rfam family "Bacterial small subunit ribosomal RNA", at positions 524 to 776 of the family's 1533-position model. The record is from RNAcentral.